CGCAGCUUAGCGGACAGAGGCACAUGUAUGAGUGUGGGAUGGAUGAUGCAUGAUUGGCUAUAUUAUACAUGUAUGAGUGUGGGAUGGAUGGUGCAUGAUUGGCUAUGUGCUACAUGUAUGAGUGUGGGAUGGAUGAUGCAUGAUUGGCUAUAUGCUACAUGUAUGAGUGUGGGAUGGAUGGUGCAUGAUUGGCUAUGUGCUACGUGUGGGAGUGUGAGAUGUGAGGAAGUGGGUGGUGACAGAUCAGACUGACCUCAGUGCCACUUAGGAGCCGGGCCAGCAACAAGUUUCCC
Molecule: long non-coding RNA, 293 nt
Filed under: Pelobates cultripes (western spadefoot toad)
Lineage: Eukaryota; Metazoa; Chordata; Amphibia; Anura; Pelobatidae
Source: RNAcentral